This 505-nucleotide ribosomal RNA is filed under the name uncultured bacterium. RNAcentral's name for it is "SSU rRNA". It matches the Rfam family "Bacterial small subunit ribosomal RNA", at positions 26 to 518 of the family's 1533-position model. The record is from RNAcentral.
AGGACGAACGCUGGCGGCGCGCUUAACACAUGCAAGUCGAGCGAGAACCAGGCCUUCGGGCCUGGGGAAAGCGGCGAACGGGUGAGUAACACGUGGGCAACCCACCCUUGGUACCGGGAUAGCCCGGGGAAACUCGGAUUAAUACCGGAUGGCCCAACAGCUCUUAGGGGCGGUUGGAAAAGGUAGCUUCGGCCUCCGACCAAGGACGGGCCCGCGGCGGAUUAGCUUGUUGGUGGGGUAACGGCCUACCAAGGCGACGAUCUGUAGCUGGUCUGAGAGGACGAUCAGCCACACUGGGACUGAGACACGGCCCAGACUCCUACGGGAGGCAGCAGUGGGGAAUCUUGCGCAAUGGACGACAGUCUGACGCAGCGACGCCGCGUGGGGGAAGAAGGCUUUCGGGUUGUAAACCCCUUUCAGGAAGGACGAAGCCACUCGGGUUAAUAGCCCAGAGGGUGACGGUACUUCCAGAAGAAGCUCCGGCUAACUACGCGCCAGCAGCCGC